UUGUCUCUUAGAUCAAAUACAUCCCUUUGAUUCCCUUAUUGCUUAAACACAUGAUACAAUAAAUAGUGAUUAACAAUAAGCUUUGCCCUCCAUUAAACAUAUAAAAGUUUAAUACAUUAAGUAUUCCAAAAAGCUAUUACAUCAAAUGAGUGGCUUUGUGGGCAUACUUCCAACAAUCUUGUCCUAUAAUUAAAAGUCAGAAAUCAAUGGAAAAUAGGUAAGAAAGGUGCAUGAAUUAAAGAGAGUAGGAAAGGGAAAUUCGGCAGAAAUUGUAGGACAGAUUUUAGGAAUGUGUUUUGGGGCACAAAAUAGGUAAGAAUCCUCUCCCCUUGUGCAGCAAGAAUUGAAACAAAAGGGAAUGCAAUUUUAGGUCAUAAAAUAGGUAAGAAAGGAGAGAAAGGUGCGGCAAUGCCUAGAACUAAAGGGGAAUGUGAGUUAAAAUCAGAAAAUAGGAAAGGAGAGGAUCCCUUGUGCGGCAAGGAAAGGAACAAGCCUAGGGUGGUGCGCCAAUAUCUAGGGCAGGUUCUAGGACUUCUAGAAAUAUGUAAUUAGGCAACCUAACAUGUUUUGAAACCCUUUUGUGGCUGGAACAUA
RNAcentral lists this long non-coding RNA (594 nucleotides) under Malus domestica (apple). RNAcentral describes it as "long non-coding RNA (MDOM_LNC012647)". The record is from RNAcentral. Lineage: Eukaryota; Viridiplantae; Streptophyta; Magnoliopsida; Rosales; Rosaceae.